This 962-nucleotide long non-coding RNA is filed under the name Lathyrus oleraceus (garden pea). RNAcentral describes it as "Pisum sativum (pea) long non-coding RNA (PSAT_LNC029351)". The record is from RNAcentral. Lineage: Eukaryota; Viridiplantae; Streptophyta; Magnoliopsida; Fabales; Fabaceae.
UUAAUCUUAAACUUAGUUUUAGAGGAUGAGAUGGUUCGGAGGAUAAUAUACAUCAAAUGAUGGUUUAGAGAAUAUGAUCAUAAUUGCUUCUGGAUAUCAUCAAACUCUACUACUCUAAUCAGAUGUAACCACAAAUUAAGAUGCUUAGACAUUGGUGAAGUAUAAGAUUUUCUGUCAAUAUGAUAGAAGUAGAAUUAACACAGUGAAGUGUAAUUCUUCUUCCAUAAAUAAGAAUUACUUAAAAUAGUAGGACUAAAAACUGCUUCAUAAAAACAGAGACAUACCUUUCUUUGUGCAACUUCUGAUAAGUGUAUAGAGAUUGUUCUUAAGGAACAACAUUGUUCCAACAAUGAUCUUUAGAAAGACACCAUGAGUUAUUUUAGACUCCAGAGCAGCUGGAUGAUUUUCAGAGAUGUAUCAAGAGUAUGAAGCACCAUCAAUUUAGGACAACCUUAGUCUUCCUAGUAAUCUUUUCGUAUUGGUUUCUUCUAGAUUCCUCAUUUCCUUCCUUGUUAAGAGUUAGGAUUUGGAAUAUAGGCCUUCUUCUUAUUGUAGGUUAUAGUCAACCAUUAUCCUGAAACAAGAGUUGUUACUUGGUCUUUUUCCUUUAGCAUAUCUGCAUAAAACACAAUCUCAUCCUCUGGUAUCCAUAAUCUUAUGGGUGUUUUGAGAUUAGUUUUUUAGGUCUUCCUAUUGCUUUGAGCUUUAGCCUUAUAGUAAGGUUUAGGCUCAUUCCAGACUUUUUAUUUACACACAUUUUGUCUAAGAUAAGUCUUGAUCUUGACUUCUGAACCUCUUGGAACCUUUAAUUUAACAACCCUGAGUUCUGAACUCUUCAGAACCUCUAACUUGAUAGUCCGAGAUUUUUAAUUUUCAUAUCUUAUGAGUUAUUAAUGACAAGUUCUGAUUGAUUCAUAAUUUUACUAUUUUCAGCAGCAGACGCAAAGUAAGCUUUCAACCCC